This 1306-nucleotide ribosomal RNA is filed under the name uncultured bacterium. Its description in RNAcentral is "bacterial SSU rRNA". It matches the Rfam family "Bacterial small subunit ribosomal RNA", at positions 97 to 1401 of the family's 1533-position model. The record is from RNAcentral.
GGCGGACGGGUGAGUAACGCGUGGGUAACCUGCCUUGCACUGGGGGAUAACACUUAGAAAUAGGUGCUAAUACCGCAUAAGCGCACGGUCCUGCAUGGGACAGUGUGAAAAACUCCGGUGGUGCAAGAUGGACCCGCGUCUGAUUAGCUGGUUGGCGGGGUAACGGCCCACCAAGGCGACGAUGCGUAGGGGUUCUGAGAGGAAGGUCCCCCACACUGGUACUGAGACACGGACCAGACUCCUACGGGAGGCAGCAGUGAGGAAUAUUGGUCAAUGGCCGAGAGGCUGAACCAGCCAAGUCGCGUGAGGGAUGACGGCCCUACGGGUUGUAAACCUCUUUUGCCGGGGAGCAAAGAGCGGGACGCGUCCCGCCUCGAGAGUACCCGGAGAAAAAGCAUCGGCUAACUCCGUGCCAGCAGCCGCGGUAAUACGGAGGAUGCGAGCGUUAUCCGGAUUUAUUGGGUUUAAAGGGUGCGCAGGCGGAAGCGCAAGUCAGCGGUAAAAUUGAGAGGCUCAACCUCUUCCCGCCGUUGAAACUGCGUUUCUUGAGUGGGCGAGAAGUACGCGGAAUGCGUGGUGUAGCGGUGAAAUGCAUAGAUAUCACGCAGAACUCCGAUUGCGAAGGCAGCGUACCGGCGCCCAACUGACGCUCAUGCACGAAAGCGUGGGUAUCGAACAGGAUUAGAUACCCUGGUAGUCCACGCAGUAAACGAUGAAUACUCGCUGUCCGGGGAGAUUGGUCUCUGGGCGGCCAAGCGAAAGCGUUAAGUAUUCCACCUGGGGAGUACGCCGGCUACGGUGAAACUCAAAGGAAUUGACGGGGGCCCGCACAAGCGGAGGAACAUGUGGUUUAAUUCGAUGAUACGCGAGGAACCUUACCCGGGCUCAAACGACGGAUGAAUACUUUUGAAAGGAGGUAGUCCUUCGGGACAUCCGUCGAGGUGCUGCAUGGUUGUCGUCAGCUCGUGCCGUGAGGUGUCGGCUUAAGUGCCAUAACGAGCGCAACCCCCAUCGCCAGUUGCCAACAGGUAAAGCUGGGAACUCUGGCGAGACUGCCGGCGCAAGCUGUGAGGAAGGCGGGGAUGACGUCAAAUCAGCACGGCCCUUACGUCCGGGGCGACACACGUGUUACAAUGGCAGGUACAGAGAGAUGCGACACGGCGACGUGGAGCGGAACUGUCAAAACCUGUCUCAGUUCGGAUCGGAGUCUGCAACCCGACUCCGUGAAGCUGGAUUCGCUAGUAAUCGCGCAUCAGCCAUGGCGCGGUGAAUACGUUCCCGGGCCUUGCACACACCGCCCGUCAAG